UUUUUUUUUUUUUUUUUUUUAAGGCAGAGUCUCACUCUGUCGCCAGGCUGGAGUCCAGUGGCACAAUCUCAGUUCACUGCAACCUCCACCUCCCGGGUUCAAGCGAUUCUCCUGCCUCAGCUUCCUGAAUAGUUGGGACUACAGACAUGCGCCACCACACCCAGCUAAUUUUUGUAUUUUUAGUAAAGAUGGGGUUUCACCAUGUUGGCCAGCAUGGUCUCGAUCUCUCCACCUCGUGAUCCGCCCUCCUCAGCCUCCCAAAGUGCUGGGAUUACAGGCAGGCGUGAGCCACCGUGCCCAGCCACCAAUUACCAUUCUAAGUCUCAAGCUUGCAGCCAUCUAUCCAUGUCUGCUGGACUACAGGCUGCUGCCUACAUAAGACCAACCCAGUCUCUACAGUGCUUUUUACAAUAACCCACUAUGAAUUGCAGAUGGAGCCCCCCAGCUCCUUCCAUUGAGAGCAAUGAGAUGAAGAGAGGAAGAGGGCAAUCUCUCAACAAGUCAACCAUUACAGAGCCUUGAGAACGUUAAAAAGUCCGGCCUGCCACUAGCACAUUGUAGUUUAUUUUUUUGCCUCAUUCUGCCUACCUCAGACCCUUCAACUCCUCACUUUUCACAUAUCUGGAGGCUAAUCCCAUGUGAGAAACACUUCGGAAAACAAGUGUGACAACUUUGCCUGAGUCCCAGAAAGAAAGCUCUCUCUGAAGGGGCCCUUCGGUUGUUUUCCCAGGUGAGAUGUUUAAGACUUGAUCCCUGUUGUCUGAAUUCCUUUCUCACCACACCCAAGGUCAUUUUAAUGAAAAUUCCAAAGUCCAAGCCAAGAGGAUAGAGUUGCUCUUAAUCCUUCAGCAGUGCCGUCAUUUGAUCCCUAGACCCGCUGGGGUGAUUAUUGUGUGUCUGCAGAGCAGGGCUAAGCAGGCAGGAGGAGGAAGUGAUUGACCCUGCAGGGGGCCUGUUUCCUGGCCCUUGUUUCUCUGCUGGUGCUGCUGCUACCUCCCAAGCCCUCCCACCACCCUUUCUCCCUAUCACCUCAAGAUAAUGCUGACACUCAUGGCUGUUCUUCACCUUUUGGGGAAGUUC
This 1080-nucleotide long non-coding RNA is filed under the name Macaca fascicularis (crab-eating macaque). Its description in RNAcentral is "lncRNA (ENSMFAG00000061298.1)". Lineage: Eukaryota; Metazoa; Chordata; Mammalia; Primates; Cercopithecidae. The record is from RNAcentral.